This 682-nucleotide ribosomal RNA is filed under the name Clonostachys rosea. RNAcentral's name for it is "partial large subunit ribosomal RNA". It matches the Rfam family "Eukaryotic large subunit ribosomal RNA", at positions 86 to 804 of the family's 3401-position model. Lineage: Eukaryota; Fungi; Ascomycota; Sordariomycetes; Hypocreales; Bionectriaceae. The record is from RNAcentral.
ACGGCGAGUGAAGCGGCAACAGCUCAAAUUUGAAAUCUGGCGCAAGCCCGAGUUGUAAUUUGUAGAGGAUGUUUCUGGCGACGUGCCUUCCGAGUUCCCUGGAACGGGACGCCAUAGAGGGUGAGAGCCCCGUACGGUUGGAUGCCUAGCCUCUGUGAAACUCCUUCGACGAGUCGAGUAGUUUGGGAAUGCUGCUCUAAAUGGGAGGUAUACGUCUUCUAAAGCUAAAUACCGGCCAGAGACCGAUAGCGCACAAGUAGAGUGAUCGAAAGAUGAAAAGCACUUUGAAAAGAGGGUUAAAAAGUACGUGAAAUUGUUGAAAGGGAAGCGUUCAUGACCAGACUUGGGCAGGUUGAUCAUCCGUGGUUCUCCGCGGUGCACUCUGCCUGCCCAGGCCAGCAUCAGUUCGCCCCGGGGGAUAAAGACUUUGGGAAUGUGGCUCCCUCGGGAGUGUUAUAGCCCACUGUGUAAUACCCUGGGGUGGACUGAGGUUCGCGCUCUGCAAGGAUGCUGGCGUAAUGGUCAUCAACGACCCGUCUUGAAACACGGACCAAGGAGUCGUCUUCGUAUGCGAGUGUUCGGGUGUCAAACCCCUACGCGUAAUGAAAGUGAACGUAGGAGAGAGCUUCGGCGCAUCUCCGACCGAUCCUGAUGUUCUCGGAUGGAUUUGAGUAAGAGCAUA